UGAAGAGAGGACAUGCUGCCUCCACUCAAAGUACCGGUGCUGUCCAGGAUGCUGGGCCUGGAGGAGCAAUGGAGGCUGAGCUCUGAAGUUACUGCCAUCACAGCCUGGUACGAAAUCUAACAUGAGUGUGUUGCUGCUGCGGUUCGGCCUUGUCAGGAUCAGGUAGUGCAGAAAAGCUGACAAAGACAACGCUGCCUGGCUUCGCUGGCAG
Molecule: long non-coding RNA, 211 nt
Organism: Perca fluviatilis (European perch)
Lineage: Eukaryota; Metazoa; Chordata; Actinopteri; Perciformes; Percidae
Exons: 3
Source: RefSeq, a predicted model, not a curated record